GACGAACGCUGGCGGCGUGCCUAAUACAUGCAAGUAGAACGCUGAAGGAGGAGAUUGCUUCUCUGGAUGAGUUGCGAACGGGUGAGUAACGCGUAGGUAACCUGCCUGGUAGCGGGGGAUAACUAUUGGAAACGAUAGCUAAUACCGCAUAACAGUAGAUAUCGCAUGAUAUCUACUUGAAAGGUGCAAUUGCAUCACUACCAGGUGGACCUGCGUUGUAUUAGCUAGUUGGUGAGGUAACGGCUCACCAAGGCGACGAUACAUAGCCGACCGGAGAGGGUGAGCGGCCACACUGGGACUGAGACAGGGCCCAGACCCCGACGGGAGGCAGCAGUAGGGGAAAUUCAGCAAUGGACGGAAGUGUGACCGAGCAACGCCGCGUGAGUGAAGAAGGAUUUCGGAUCGUAAAGCGCUGUUGUAAGAGAAGAACGAGUGUGCGAGUGGAAAGUUCACACUGUGACGGUAUCUUACCAGAAAGGGACGGCUAACUACGUG
RNAcentral lists this ribosomal RNA (495 nucleotides) under uncultured bacterium. RNAcentral's name for it is "partial 16S ribosomal RNA". It matches the Rfam family "Bacterial small subunit ribosomal RNA", at positions 28 to 507 of the family's 1533-position model. The record is from RNAcentral.